RNAcentral lists this ribosomal RNA (207 nucleotides) under uncultured delta proteobacterium. RNAcentral describes it as "partial 16S ribosomal RNA". It matches the Rfam family "Bacterial small subunit ribosomal RNA", at positions 568 to 774 of the family's 1533-position model. Lineage: Bacteria; Deltaproteobacteria. The record is from RNAcentral.
UGUGUAGGCGGCUUGGCAAGUCGGAUGUGAAAGCCCUGGGCUCAACCCAGGAAGUGCACUCGAUACUGCCGAGCUUGAGUAUCGGAGAGGUUGGUGGAAUUCUCGGUGUAGAGGUGAAAUUCGUAGAUAUCGAGAGGAACACCGGCGGCGAAGGCGGCCAACUGGACGAAUACUGACGCUGAGACACGAAAGCGUGGGGAGCAAACA